CAGUAGCCACGGGAAAACGGAGGGUGCAAGCGUUAUCCGGAUUUAUUGGGUUUAAAGGGUCCGUAGGCGGAUCUGUAAGUCAGUGGUGAAAUCUCACAGCUUAACUGUGAAACUGCCAUUGAUACUGCAGGUCUUGAGUAAAUUUGAAGUGGCUGGAAUAAGUAGUGUAGCGGUGAAAUGCAUAGAUAUUACUUAGAACACCAAUUGCGAAGGCAGGUCACUAAGAUUUAACUGACGCUGAUGGACGAAAGCGUGGGGAGCGAACAGGAUUAGAUACCCGGGUAGUCCCUGUCUCUUAUAC
RNAcentral lists this ribosomal RNA (301 nucleotides) under uncultured bacterium. RNAcentral describes it as "partial 16S ribosomal RNA". It matches the Rfam family "Bacterial small subunit ribosomal RNA", at positions 509 to 807 of the family's 1533-position model. The record is from RNAcentral.